This 255-nucleotide ribosomal RNA is filed under the name uncultured prokaryote. RNAcentral's name for it is "partial 16S ribosomal RNA". It matches the Rfam family "Bacterial small subunit ribosomal RNA", at positions 523 to 777 of the family's 1533-position model. The record is from RNAcentral.
AUACAGAGGGUGCAAGCGUUGUUCGGAAUUAUUGGGCGUAAAGCGCGUGUAGGCGGCUUUGCAAGUCGGGUGUGAAAGCCCUCAGCUUAACUGAGGAAGUGCGCCCGAAACUGCAAGGCUUGAGUACCGGAGAGGAUGGCGGAAUUCCCCAAGUAGAGGUGAAAUUCGUAGAUAUGGGGAGGAACACCGGUGGCGAAGGCGGCCAUCUGGACGGAUACUGACGCUGAGACGCGAAAGCGUAGGUAGCAAACAGGA